GUGGCAGAUUGCGGCUCGGCCGAGUGCAGGCGGCUCGGGUACGAGCGGGAGCUGGAAGGAGUAAAGGCAGAGAGGGACGAGUUCUGCGCCGAGGUCCGACUUCUCCGCACAAAGCUGCAAAAGCAGCUGCGCAGCAUGAAGAGUGGUCGCACCACUGCAGUUGAGAGCCAGGAGGUCGUGAGUGCUCUCUCUCUCUCUCUCUCUCUCUCUCUCUCUCUCUCUCUCUUCCAUUCUCCCUGUCUUUGUGUGUCUGAUUUUUUUGUUUUUCACCAACUUUGAUAGGAACGCGUGACGGAGGGAGGCCGGUCCUCGGCCGCGUCGGAGAAGGCGGGCCGGUCCUCGGCCGCGUCGGAGAAGGCGGGCCCGUCCUCGGCCGCGUCGGAGGAGGAGGCGGGCUCGUCCUCCUUCAGCCCGUGGAGUUCCGGCAGCGGCAGGGGGAACCUCAUGAGGCAAAUAAGCCUCCCACCGUCGAUGGAGGACUACCUUAGGACGUACAGGGCCCACCACGAGGGCCUAGACCCGACCCCCAAAAUGACCGAAAAUGCCAUAUCCAAGGUCAGCAGGGUGAAAACUUUCAUCUUGUAUAUGGCCAACAACCGCAGCCGGUUGUCCGACUGGCUUUUUCUGGAUAACAUGUCCAGGAUCCGCGGCUGGUCCCGAAGUGUGGUGGAGGGCGGGAUGAAAAUUACCACAGCAAAAUUCUAUUUGCAGAACGCCCUGCACUUCGUUCGAUUUAUGACCGGGAUCCCGCCCAAGACCUGCCGCCUCACUCGGGUGCAGUUCACCUCCGUGGAGAGGGAAUUGAAGACGGGGGUGAGGUCGCUGCAGCGGAGGGUGGUUGUCCACCAGAUGUCAACAAAAAGGAUCAAAAUUAGCAAGCUGCCGUCCCGCCAGGCCCUGAGGGGUUGA
RNAcentral lists this long non-coding RNA (909 nucleotides) under Scophthalmus maximus (turbot). RNAcentral describes it as "lncRNA (ENSSMAG00000035215.1)". The record is from RNAcentral. Lineage: Eukaryota; Metazoa; Chordata; Actinopteri; Pleuronectiformes; Scophthalmidae.